RNAcentral lists this unclassified non-coding RNA (2314 nucleotides) under uncultured fungus. RNAcentral's name for it is "sequence contains 18S rRNA gene, ITS1, 5.8S rRNA gene, ITS2, 28S rRNA gene". The record is from RNAcentral. Lineage: Eukaryota; Fungi.
CCGAUGGCUCGCAGCGCGAGACCAACACGAUGCCGCAAUGGGCCGGCAGUUGCUGGUAUUAUCUCCGUUACCUCGAUGCGAAUAAUGCGUCCGCGUUUGUCGGCAAGGAAGCCGAGCAAUACUGGAUGGGAGUGUCUGGCGUUGAACCGUUGAACCGUGGAACCGUUGAACCGGCUCACGAUUCAACGAUUCAACGAUUCAACGAUUCAACGAAACCCGGCGUCGAUCUCUACGUCGGCGGCACCGAGCACGCCGUGCUGCACCUGCUCUACGCGCGGUUCUGGCACAAGGCGCUGUUCGAUCUUGGCUAUGUCUCGACGCCCGAGCCGUUCUUCAAGCUCGUCAACCAGGGACUCAUCCUCGGCGAAGACGGACAGAAGAUGUCGAAGGCGCGCGGCAACGUCGUCAAUCCCGACGACAUGGUGCGGGAGUUCGGCGCCGAUUCCCUGCGACUGUUCGAAAUGUUCAUGGGUCCGCUCCAGGACACGAAGCCGUGGAGCACGAAGGGCGUGGAAGGCGUUUAUCGUUUUCUCGGCCGCGUCUGGCGAUUGUUCGUGGAGGAACAGAGUGAAACGGAGUUCGAACAGGCGGAGACCACAACAAAGGAACAAAGGAACGAAGGGUUGCUGGAGCUGAUCAAACUCAGCGCCGCGAUCAAAGAAGUCGAGCCCGCACCGGCCCAACUCAAAGCGCUGCACGCCUGCAUCAAAAAAGUCACCGAAGACCUCGACGGCCUGCGCUUCAACACGGCGAUCUCGGCGAUGAUGGAGUUCGUCAACGGCGCGCUGCACUGGGAAACGAAACCGGUUUCCGUCCUGAAAACGUUUCUCCAAUUGCUCGCCCCCUUUGCGCCGCACCUGGCGGAGGAAUUGUGGGAAAAGAUAAACAUCGAACAUCGAACAUCGAACAUCGAACAUCGAAUCAGCCUCUCGUACGCACCGUGGCCGAAGUUCGAUCCGGCCCUGCUCGUCGAGGACACGCUGGAAAUUCCCGUGCAGGUCAACGGCAAGUUGCGCGACGUGAUCAAAGUACCCGCGAACGCCGACAACGCCGCUCUCGAAGCCGCCGCCCGCGCAUCCGCGAAAGUGAAGCCGUUCCUCGACGGCAAGACCAUCAAGAAGGUCAUCGUCGUGCCGAAGAAGCUGGUGAACCUGAUUGCGGCAUAGGCGUGCGCUUCCCUACCAAAAUAAGGCACUACCGCGUCUCCAGAAAGAUUGCGGUCAGCCGAUCGAACCGUUACUGUGCAGCAGCAUGGUUCACCUGACGAAACAGGAACAAAUGGUGCUCUGCUUCAUCCUGGGAUUGCUGUUGACCGGCUGGGCGGUGAAGGCUUAUCGCACCGCGCACCCGGCGGCAAAGUUGAGCCCGGGCGCGCCGCAAACGUCCGGCGAUCCAGCGGAACAUUGACAUGCACGAAGCCACAUUCGAAGAAGGUCUCGACCUGAUCCUGUCCAGGGAUACACGUUAUCAGCGCGACGCCUACGUGUUCCUGCGCGAAGCGCUGGAUCACACGCAGAAAACCAUCGUCAAAGAAAAUCGCGGCGAAAUACGCCACGUGACCGGUCAGGAAUUGCUGGCCGGCAUCCGCGAAUACGCGCUCGGCCAGUUCGGUCCGAUGGCGAUGAUGAUCCUUGAGGAAUGGGGUGUCCGCACCUGCCACGAUUUCGGCGAAAUCGUUUUCAACAUGGUGGAAGUCGGCUUGCUCGCCAAGACCGACAAGGACAGCCGCGAGGAUUUCAAGGACGGCUACGAUUUCGAGGAUGCGUUCCGCAAACCUUUUCUGCCGAAGAGCAAGCAGAUCAAGGAAACAAAGUCUGUCGUUUGACACAGACGCUGAAGUACUCGGAUAUCCCGCUUCAUCUUGCAAUCGCGGCUGCUUCGUGGCACCCUUUCCCCAUGAGCAACAAAGAACUCGUCGCAGAUCUGGUCAGGCGCUUGCCCGAUGACGUUUCGCUCCUGGACAUCGCGCGAGAAAUUGAAUUCGUUGCCGGCGUACGCGAGGGCUUUGCGCAAUUGGAUCGUGGUGAGGGCACCCCUCUGCAAGAGGUCGCCGGGCAAUUGCCUUCAUGGAUUUCAAAGUAAUCUUGUCGCCGCGAGCGAUUCAGGAUUUACAGGAAAUCGUCAGAUAUAUUUCCUUCGACAACCUCGCGAUGGCGGAAAGCUUCGGGUUCGAACUCCUCGCCAAGAACCGUUCAUUAUCGGCUUUCCCGGAACUGGGACGCAAGGUACCGGAACUGGAUGAUCCGAAUAUUCGUGAGAUCAUUUUCAAGUCGUACCGGAUUGUCUGUCGAGUGCGGAAAGACGGGCAGGCCGU